This is a small nucleolar RNA of Trichomycterus rosablanca, 69 nucleotides long. Lineage: Eukaryota; Metazoa; Chordata; Actinopteri; Siluriformes; Trichomycteridae. The record is from RefSeq and is a predicted model, not a curated record.
UGUGAAUGAUGACUCUUUCCUUCCUGACUCACACGUGGAGGCACUAAACUGAUUUAAUGAGCCUGACAC